ACCAUAUAAUCGUAAUCGUAAUAAGCAUAUAAUCGAGUCAUAAGUAUUACAAGAUCUAGUGUGCCUUGGACACAACUGUCAACUUGGAUUGUUGAAAUACCAAAGAAAUUCCAACGUUUAGUCAGUCGUCUCUCGAAAAUCGGCGAGUUUUCAAACGUAAUAACCAGAAACACAAAAUUUAUUAUUUGGAACGUGCACAACAAAAUAAGCGGCGAGAACAAAUUCAGAUUCUCGUGGAACAUGAAAAAGGAGCGGCGGACGUGGUGCCCCAGCCACUGUGGCGUCCCAGAGUGUUGAGCAGGGAUCGGGAUCAGGAUCAGGGUCAAGAUCAGGAUCGGGAUCUGCCACCUCCAGGCAGGCGGUGGAGCAGCUGUCGCUGGUCAGAUCGCUGUUCUGCAGCAAGGAACCCUACUCCUCCUUGAGCUCCUGGAUGAACGAAAGGGCGCUCCAUCUCCGUAUUUUAGAUAUUUGAAAAGGGUCCCCCAUAUAUUUAUUCCUUUCCGAUUGCCGGCAGUCGGGUUAUCCAUAGUAUU
Long non-coding RNA from Drosophila subpulchrella, 533 nucleotides. RefSeq lists it as uncharacterized. The transcript is spliced from 3 exons. Lineage: Eukaryota; Metazoa; Arthropoda; Insecta; Diptera; Drosophilidae. The record is from RefSeq and is a predicted model, not a curated record.